Molecule: ribosomal RNA, 438 nt
Filed under: uncultured Bacillota bacterium
Lineage: Bacteria; Bacillati; Bacillota
Description: bacterial SSU rRNA
Rfam family: Bacterial small subunit ribosomal RNA
Source: RNAcentral
GGACCCGCACAAGCAGCGGAGCAUGUGGUUUAAUUCGAAGCAACGCGAAGAACCUUACCAGGGCUUGACAUCCUCCCGACCGGCCGGCAAAACGGCCUUUCGCAAGACGGGAGAGACAGGUGGUGCAUGGUUGUCGUCAGCUCGUGUCGUGAGAUGUUGGGUUAAGUCCCGCAACGAGCGCAACCCUUGCCGUUAGUUGCCAUCAGCCAGGCUGGGCACUCUAACGGGACUGCCGGGGAUAACUCGGAGGAAGGUGGGGAUGACGUCAAAUCAUCAUGCCCCUUAUGUUCUGGGCUACACACGUGCUACAAUGGCCGGCACAAAAGACGCAAUGCGGCGACGCGGAGCAAAUCAUGAAAACCGGUCCCAGUUCGGAUUGCAGGCUGAAACCCGCCUGCAUGAAGUCGGAGUUGCUAGUAAUCGUGAAUCAGAAUGUCA